Molecule: small nuclear RNA, 187 nt
Filed under: Anolis carolinensis (green anole)
Lineage: Eukaryota; Metazoa; Chordata; Lepidosauria; Squamata; Anolidae
Description: 7SK RNA
Rfam family: 7SK RNA
About the family: 7SK was discovered as an abundant small nuclear RNA in the mid-70s but a possible function has only recently been suggested.
Source: Rfam by way of RNAcentral
GGAUGUGAGGGUGAUCUGGCUGCGACAACUGUCACCCCAUUGAUUGCCAGGGUAGAUUUGACUGAUCUGGUUGGCUAGCCAGGUGUCCCCUUUCUCCCUCACCAUUCCAUGUGUGUCCCUCCCAAAGUUGUGCACUCAGUGGAAGAGGAUGACGUCCCAGGUAUAGAAGGAGUGUACCAAGGUCUCC